CGGGUGUAGCUCAAUGGCAGAGUGGCAGCCUUCCAAGCUGUUUACGAGGGUUCGAUUCCCUUCACCC
Molecule: transfer RNA, 67 nt
Filed under: bovine gut metagenome
Also listed under: 1 other name
Rfam family: tRNA
About the family: Transfer RNA (tRNA) molecules are approximately 80 nucleotides in length.
Source: RNAcentral